UACGGAGGGUGCAAGCGUUAUCCGGAAUUACUGGGUUUAAAGGGUGCGUAGGCGGCUUGAUAAGUCAGAGGUGAAAGCCUAUCGCUUAACGAUAGAAUUGCCUUUGAUACUGUAAAGCUUGAAAGGGGUUGAGGUCAGCAGAAUGUGGAAUGUAGCGGUGAAAUGCAUAGAUAUGCCAGAGAACACCGAUUGCGAAGGCAGCUGGCUGGGCCUACUUUGACGAUGAGGCACGAAAGCGUGGGGAGCGAACAGG
RNAcentral lists this ribosomal RNA (253 nucleotides) under uncultured bacterium. Its description in RNAcentral is "partial 16S ribosomal RNA". It matches the Rfam family "Bacterial small subunit ribosomal RNA", at positions 524 to 776 of the family's 1533-position model. The record is from RNAcentral.